AUUGAACGCUGGCGGCAUGCCUUACACAUGCAAGUCGAACGGCAGCACGGGAGCAAUCCUGGUGGCGAGUGGCGAACGGGUGAGUAAUAUAUCGGAACGUGCCCAGUAGUGGGGGAUAGCCCGGCGAAAGCCGGAUUAAUACCGCAUACGACCUGUGGGUGAAAGCGGGGGAUCGCAAGACCUCGCGCUAUUGGAGCGGCCGAUAUCAGAUUAGCUUGUUGGUGGGGUAAAAAGCCCACCAAGGCGACGAUCUGUAGCUGGUCUGAGAGGACGACCAGCCACACUGGGACUGAGACACGGCCCAGACUCCUACGGGAGGCAGCAGUGGGGAAUUUUGGACAAUGGGGGGCAACCCUGAUCCAGCAAUGCCGCGUGAGUGAAGAAGGCCUCGGUUGUAAGACUCUUUUGUUCAGGGAAGGAAACGGUAGAGAGCUAAU
This 437-nucleotide ribosomal RNA is filed under the name uncultured bacterium. Its description in RNAcentral is "bacterial SSU rRNA". It matches the Rfam family "Bacterial small subunit ribosomal RNA", at positions 29 to 466 of the family's 1533-position model. The record is from RNAcentral.